ACUGGGAGGGACUGGGAGGGAACUGGGAGGGACUGGGGGGGACUGGGAGGGAGUGGGAGGGAACUGGGAGGGACUGGGAUGGACUGGGAAGGACUGGGAGGCACUGGGAGGGACUGGGAGGGACUGGGAGGGAACUGGGACGGACUGGGACAGAACUGGGAGGGACUGCGAUGGACUGGUUCUUACUGGGUUAUACUGGGAUGGACUGGGACAUACUGGGAUGGACUGGGAGGGACUGGGAGGGACUGGGAGGGAACUGGGAGGGACUGGGAUGGACUGGGAAGGACUGGGAGGCACUGGGAGGGACUGGGAGGGACUGGUUUAUACUGGGAGGGACUGGUUCAUACUGGGAGGGACUGGGCCAUACUGGGGUGGGAGGAGGCGGGGAAAUGGGUUCUACUGGGGGCUUCUGCUGGUUCUUACUGGUUCCUAUGGGUCUCUAUUGACCACUAUGUGCCCAUACUGGUCCAUACUGGUCUGUACUGGUCCAUACUGGUCUGUACUGGUUUAUACUGGUCCGUCCUGGUCCGUACUGGUCCAUACUGGUGCGGGAGGAGGCGGGGAAAUGGGUUCUACUGGGAUCUCCUACUGCUUCUUACUGGGUUGUACUGGUUCCUAUGGGUCUCUAGUGACCACUAUGUGCCCAUACUGGUCCAUACUGGUCCGUACUGGUCCAUACUGGUCCAUACUGGUGCGGGAGGAGGCGGGGGAAUGGGUUCUACUGGGAUCUUCUACUGGUUCUUACUGGGUUCUACUGGUUCCUAUGGGUCUCUAGUGACCACUCUGGACCCAUACUGGUCCAUACUGGUUUAUACUGGUCCAUACCGGUCCAUACCGGUCCAUACCGGUCCAUACUGGUCCAUACUGGUUUAUACUGGUCCAUACUGGUCCAUACUGGUUUAUACUGGUCCAUACUGGUCCAUACUGGUCCAUACUGGUUUAUACUGGUCCAUACUGGUCCAUACUGGUCCAUACUGGUGCGGGAGGAGGUGGGGGAAUGGGUUCUACUGGGAUCUCCUACUGCUUCUUACUGGUUCCUAUGGCU
This 1045-nucleotide long non-coding RNA is filed under the name Numida meleagris (helmeted guineafowl). RNAcentral's name for it is "lncRNA (ENSNMEG00000002284.1)". Lineage: Eukaryota; Metazoa; Chordata; Aves; Galliformes; Numididae. The record is from RNAcentral.